GUGAAAACACGCAAAAACGAAACACGGCCAAUAUGCAGUUAGUACAAGUACUCAGUGUAAAGUACAACACAGAGGAAGAAACAGACAUAUCCAAAGUCUGUGUUGUGAGUUUGAGAUUGGAGUCUCUAGAAUCUAAAAUUCUUCAUCGGUGGCAGAAUCUAUUUUUACAGUCAUCACAGAGCGCCAAGCCGGAGCCAAGUCCGGAGCUACUUGUCUUGUGUGUGUUGAGAUUGAGUAAUGGUUAUAACUUUAUAAUAACAAUGAAUAACCCACAACAAACACCCCGACUCAGCAGCUUGUGACACAUAAACAAUUUGUAAUACUAAUAAUUGCACAUUUAUAAAUAUUACCCCGCCGAACUGUAUGCUGGUUACGGCUCACAACAAGAAGUAACACGUAAAAGAGCGAUACAGGAGGAACAACGAGAUAUCAGAGUUGCACAACUUGUGCCCAAGAGAGGAGCUGUGUCUGUUUGGAGGGUUUUUAGUUUUGGAAAAUCCAAAGUAAGUUAGAUCAAAUAACAAUUCAUUGCAAAGUCUGUUCAGUCUCUGGUGGCAACACUAGCAGCCACAAUAAGCUGACAUGCUAACUUGCUAACUCGCUAACACAAUAACAAGCUAACUAGCCAGUUACACGCUAACUCGCUAACACGAUAACAAGCUAACUCGCCAGUUACACGCUAACUCGCCUUAUCAGGUCAAUGAAUUAAUGUGUUUACUUGAAAAAGCAAUACCGGGAUACCGUCAAAAUCUUUCUUAAUACCGUGAUAUGGAUUUUUGACCGUGCAGCCCUAGUAUAUAUAUCUAGAUCUAUAUCUAGAUAUAUUAUGUAUUGUUAAAAACAUAACAUAAUGUGACAAAACUAUAGCAUAAUUAAACAGAAUACAGUUUUAAUAAAAAUAAAUAACACCAUGACAUAAUACAAUAUAAAAACAUAGGUUCUCUCCAAGUGAAGUCUCUUCCUCUUCCUUUGGCUUACUACUCGCAAUUAUUUGAAUUUCUGUUAUAGGAAGUGAAUGAAUUGUACAUCUUUUACAUUGUUCAUUCUGUACACAUGUCCAUUGUAGUCUGUCCAGCCCGGGAGAGGGAUCUUCCUCUGACGUUCUCCCUAAGGUUUCUUCCCUUUUUUCCCCAUGGAAGGGUUUUUCAUUUUUGGGGAGUUUUUCCUGUGUUGAUUAUGGGGUUUCGGGACAGAGGAUGUCGUAUGUGUACAGACUGUAAAGUCCUGUGAAGCAGAUUUGUAAUUUGCAAUUUUGGGCUAUACAAAAUAAAAUGAAUUCAAUUAAAU
Gasterosteus aculeatus aculeatus (three-spined stickleback) is the source of this 1287-nucleotide long non-coding RNA. NCBI's taxonomy places the organism in Eukaryota, Metazoa, Chordata, Actinopteri, Perciformes, Gasterosteidae. The record is from Ensembl.